RNAcentral lists this unclassified non-coding RNA (273 nucleotides) under plant metagenome. Its description in RNAcentral is "partial contains 5.8S ribosomal RNA, internal transcribed spacer 2, and large subunit ribosomal RNA". The stretch from base 1 to 105 matches the Rfam family "5.8S ribosomal RNA", at positions 50 to 154 of the family's 154-position model. The record is from RNAcentral.
GAAAUGCGAUAAGUAAUAUGAAUUGCAGAUAUUCGUGAAUCAUCGAAUCUUUGAACGCACAUUGCGCCCUUUGGUAUUCCAAAGGGCAUGCCUGUUUGAGCGUCAUUUCUCCCUCAAACCUUCGGGUUUGGUGUUGAGCGAUACGCUGGGUUUGCUUGAAAGAAAGGCGGAGUAUAAACUAAUGGAUAGGUUUUUUUCCACUCAUUGGUACAAACUCCAAAAUUCUUCCAAAUUCGACCUCAAAUCAGGUAGGACUACCCGCUGAACUUAAGC